AAAGAAAUCGUUAAGGGCGUAUGGCGGAUGCCUAGGCUUUCAGAGGCGACGAAGGACGUGGUAAGCUGCGAAAAGCUACGGGGAUUGGCACACACGAAUAGAUCCGUAGAUAUCCGAAUGGGGCAACCCAAUACAUUGAAGAUGUAUUACUGCGUAAGCAGAGCAAACCCGGAGAACUGAAACAUCUAAGUACCCGGAGGAAAAGAAAUCGAAGAG
RNAcentral lists this ribosomal RNA (216 nucleotides) under Riemerella anatipestifer. RNAcentral's name for it is "partial 23S ribosomal RNA". It matches the Rfam family "Bacterial large subunit ribosomal RNA", at positions 1 to 233 of the family's 2925-position model. The record is from RNAcentral. Lineage: Bacteria; Pseudomonadati; Bacteroidota; Flavobacteriia; Flavobacteriales; Weeksellaceae.